Cavia porcellus (domestic guinea pig) is the source of this 7166-nucleotide long non-coding RNA. RefSeq lists it as uncharacterized. The transcript is spliced from 8 exons. Lineage: Eukaryota; Metazoa; Chordata; Mammalia; Rodentia; Caviidae. The record is from RefSeq and is a predicted model, not a curated record.
AUUUUUGUGUAUAAUAAUUUUAAAAUUACAUAAAUAUUAAUACUUUAACUAAAUAUUCUUACAUUUAUUCUGAAACUUAUAAAGUGGAUAAUAAUUUUGGUAAGCAAAUGCUUCCCUACACAAAUAUUGUAUGUAGAUAACAAGAAACCCAAGCAGAAAGACCAAGGAGGAUAACUAUUUUUCAGAUCAUUUUCAGGCACAUAACACCUGCCAUCUCCCAAGCACAUCAGACAUAGACUUUAGAGAUGAAAUAAGUGCACUUCACAGAUACCUAGACUCUGGUAGUUGGUUAAAAGUGUGCCGCUCUUCUUCCUUUUCUGACCACCUGAUAUGACAGACAGUUUGUUUCAGUCCAUAAUCAGCUGGUUCCAAGGGAGGUGGCCUGACUGAGGGGCAACAGUUCAAGGCUGCAGAAGACAACAAAGCAACAACAGCAAAAAGGGGAGAACAAACCUCUUUUCCUCUCUUACACUGUAUGCAUGCUCUCCACCUUCUGCUGGUCUAACUACAUCCUUUGCCCCUCUCUUGCACAGUCUCAGAACUUUUCCCAAGUGAGGACCCUGAACCCCUGCUGAGUCCCUUAAACUUCUAAACUUUUCAAAUUGACACAGACAAUAUCCUAGAGCCCUAAGGGCAUGUCCUCUACACUGUAGAAUGUAGAAGUGCUGAGUUAUCCAUAUAAGCUGCUAAAUUUCUCUAGUCGACGCACUGCAAGGUUUUGGGGAGCAAGAGAGACCCACGGAACAUUUGCUGUUAGUGAAUUUUGCUGGAUUGACAUACCUGGUUGAAAUUAUUGUAAGUAUUGGCUCCUACUGGCUUCUCCUCAUUCUUUUUUCAGUUGGUGGUGACAUUUUAAUCACAUGGUAGAAUGGAAGUCAUAGACAAAGCAUUCGUGUGCCCUUUUUUUCCACUUAUUGCCUUCUGGGAGAUGUGUGGAUGAUGUCUGGUAGAUGAAAUCUCCAUUCCCUCCUCAAAUACAUCCUGAAAUCCGAGGAGGGAAAAAGCAAAUAGUUUAAAAAAAUUCAUUCUUUAAUGUUUGUCCUUACGUUCUCUCUCUAACUUUGUCUCCAUCUAGGAAUACCAGGUUGAAUCAAUAAUCAAAAUUGCUACACAUAUUUUUUGUGAGUGGAACAUCUAUACUUGUGUGAGCUGUUCACUGAGAAUGUGUAACCCACAGGACAGGCUGAGAGGUCAGCUAGGAAACAGCAGAAGACAGAAGACAAGACUGCAGUGAUAGAAAAAGGUGAUAAUCAAGCCAAAUGCAACAGCACUGCGUGCUGUCGGGCAACAGCAAAGGAUCCCUGUGCACGCAAAAAGAAAGUUGCACAAUAUGAAGGAAGCAGUAAGAAUGAAAUGAAGUAGAAGAGACAUGCAGAAAGAAAAAUGCUCUCGGAUAUGUCACAAUCAUCUUGAUUCUUUACCUGGAAAACCUGUAUUUUUUCCUUUGUAAUUAUCUAAUAUACUUUGUGUCAAAGAACAAGGACCUGAGUUCCACUUAAAGAAGAUAAAGAAGUUAACAGAUACCGUUCUCAGGUUUUAUCAUGAAAUUAGAAAUGAAAAUUUUCAGUUUCUGGUAGUCAUGAACAGAGAGCCUCAGGUAAGCCCGAGAGUGCAGGCAGACAGUCAGGAUGUUCCUGCGCAGGCUCCUCAGGUGCAGCUGUGCUGGGGGGAAAAAUCAUGCUGUUUAGCCUAAUGAGGCAGAACAGAAUAAAGGCCAAGGUAAUUCAGUAGAGAGGGUCUUAAAUGCACAGCUGUAUCAGCUGCUGCCUCCUUCCCACCUGGUCUUCAUUUUUUCUCUGUGUAAUCUGUUUGCUUCCCUACUGGGCCUGCUAACAUUAUCUGAUUCCAGGCCAAACUGAUAAUAUUUGUUAUGAGGCCCGCCAAAAUUAAUAAAAUUUGAGUUUGUCAUCUUGGUGUUCCCUGAACUAAAGUUAACUACCUGUGUCAAAUCCUAAAGUACACUUGUUACACCAGCAUCAGGCUAAGACGUAAAUCUCCAUUUGAACUACGGAACAGCUGCACUCCUCUUGAAACUCUACAUGCACAGAGAGAUGUAUGUUUGUAAGUGGAUACAAUAGACGGAGUGCUUGUUGGUGUUUUAAAAGCCAAACCUGGAAUACUUUUCUUUUGACUUUACAUAUGGAGAAAAUUACGGUGUAAAAUGUAGACAAGAAUAAAAUAAUACCAAGAUGAGUAAGUCCAUUAAAAAUGUAGAUGAGCAAAUGACUUUAGCGUUAUUAAUGCUGACUGGGAAUUUGGCCAAAUGAGCAUGUAUAUACUGGGGACCAAUUAAAAGGCUUACCAUUUUAAUCACUGGCAGAACUGGACAUUCAGUGUUUUCCUGGAUGACAAGAACUUUCUUUUGUUGUUUUUUCAGUUUGGCUUUGUUUUGGUCUAGUGAACUGCACCAGAGUGUCCUCAGUGUAGAGAAGAUAACAAUACACUGCCACAGUGUUAGUAACAAUAUCUUGUUACUAACAUUUAGUAACAGUAUCUCAGAGUCUCUCCACAGCUUGAGGGAAAACAUUGCUGCCAUUCUACCCUGAGGAAAAUCUACAGUAACAGAAUGUUUCCAGAAGUAGAAACAUCCUACCAGUCGGGAACCUCCACGUGGACCUGACCUCUCAGCUUUCCCUGACUCCCCACCAGGGCAGCUGCUGUAUAGGAUCCGCUGUAACAUACCAACGGCGGUGCAGUGCGUUGGGGCUGGACUCAUGGAGAAUGUCCUGGAGCUUCCCAAGAAGACCCCUCCAGCAUUACUAGGCAAAAAGAUGGAUCAGGAAUACCUUCCUAAGCCCCGGGAACAGUUCCUCCUGAAAUAAUUAAAUAGACACACAUCUUUCAGCUUUGAUUUUUUUUUUUAAUCAGCCUGAAAAGACCAGCUUUCAGAUUCCCGAAGAAAUUGCAAACACAUCUUUUAAAAAAAAAAAAAUUAUGGGGAUCAAACUCAAAGACCCUCUACAUUGAGUUGCACGAUGGUCCAUUCAUCAUGUAUCCUGUCUGCAUACCUUGGUGCUGUGAACUGUACCAUCCUGCAAGUGUCCAUGCUACUUCUGAUGGCAAGGAUGGUGCUGGUGACAAUGGUCAGCGUCAUCAGUGGUGUCCAGUUUCCAGUCUGGCGCCUUUCCCAGGCUUUUCCAGGCUAUUGGCACACAUUUCAUUCCUGGAGAUGAUUAGAAUAUGGUGUUUCUAAAAACAGAAGGACUUAUCUUUCCUCCUCUACUUUGCAACUAAGAUUAGAUUAGAUGUAGUUGUCACCUGUGGACAUCAAGUGUGGAAGAUCCUUGGAAUUACGCUUUCCACCAUUUGAUCUCAAUUCUGAGUUAGUAGACAAGUGGUGAAGAUUCAUUUCCUAUGACCUCACUCUGCCAAUUUCAAAGUUGUUCCAGUUAAUGCUUCCAGAACUAUAUUAAACAGGAUUCCUGGCAGUGGACACCCUUGUCUUGUUCCUCAUUUCACAGGAAUUCUUUCAGUUCUUGACCAUUUAGUAUGCUGUUGGUUUGGCUGUUGGUUUCUCAUAGAUCUCAUAAAUGUUGUAUCAGAUAAAGAUUAUCUAUACCAACUUUUUGUUGUUUUUCCCAUGUUUGCAUAUUUGACUUGUCAAAUGCUUUUUAUGCAUGUGUUGAGAUGAUCAUGCCAUUUUUGUCCUUAGCUGUGUUAAUAUUGUGUAUUAAAUUUGUUAAUAUACUUAUUUUCAACCAUCCUGCAUCCCCUGGAUGAUCCUUGCUUGUUCUGUGUAAUCUUGAUGAUUUGCUGUAUUCUGUUUGCCAAUAUCUUAUGAGGAUUUUUACAUCUAUAUUCAUUUGGAAGAUUUGCCCGUAUCUCUGUUUCUUCAUUAGGUCCUUCACUGGUUUUGGUUUCAUGGUGAUGCUUAUUUCCAAGAAUGAAUUUGGGAGAGUAGAUUCACUUUGAAUUUCAUUAAAGAGUUGCAUGUCUCUGAAAUGUUAUUUAAUUUGCAUGUUUUUAAGUAGUUUUAUUGGUUUCUUUUGCCAGUGAUUGCCAAUUUCAUUGCACUAUGAUCAGACAAUAUGCAUGGAAUAAUUUCAGUUCCUUUAAAUUUACUCAAGCUUGUUUUAUGUACCAAUAUAUGUUCUCUUUUAGAGAAAGUUCUGAAUGCAUCUGAAAAAAUAUGUAUUCUGAUGUUGUGGGAUACAACACUCUGCAGAUUCACUAAUCAUGACCUUUAUUAUGGUCAUCAUCUCUGAAGUGAAACUGAGUUAUUCACCAGGCACAGCAGUUUGCAGCGUCCAUUGUUCCAUUCUGCUGGUGUGUUUCUCUUUGGAGCCCUCUGUAGUCACCAGUAGUCAAUGUACCUCUACAGGUUUGAGCCACCCCUCCCACACUACAGCUCAGAGAGAAAGUGCCACUCCUCACUUCCCAUGUCUGCACUUGGUCCCUCUCCUUUCUCUCUCUGCGGGCCCUAAUUCUCACCUUAGAUACUUGCUCAGUCCUGGGAAGCCACUUCUCUCUUCUUCCCCUUGCGCUCUUCUAGCAUCUGGAUUCCAAAUAUCAGAGAAGAUGUGUCACCAUCCUCCUGCCAUCCCAGAAGGCCUGCUUGCUUCUUUAAUCCUAUAUUAAACUAAACUAUAACACAACAAUUCAUAAACUACUUUCUUUGUUUUCAGAAUAGUCAAAUACUCACAGGUGCAUUUAUUUUAAUAUCUUAUGGAUUUGUGGAUUUAUCAUCAUUACUUUUGAAGCUUAAAGUUUGUAAUAUGUAUAUUAGUGAUAAAUGGUACACUUUUUAAGUUCUUAUCUAUCAGCUGUGUGGUGGGGGUAAUGCAAGAACAACUUUUAUACAAAACAUCAGAACAUUUAGCACUCCUUUUAGUGGUUUAUAACCCUGGUUUUAAUGAUCUUUGCAACACGCUGAAAACAAAUUGAUAGCACAUUAACUUUAGUGUGGUAAGAUAACUUCAUUUGAUAACAGACACAAUGAGAACAUACGUCAUGGGAGACUUUCACUAAGUGAAAUAUAAAUAAUUUUGAAAAAUAGUAUUAUUUUCACAGAAAUGUAGGAUGAUUUUAUAGUGGCAAACUUAUUUAACUUAUUUCUGGUUUUCUUAGCCAUUUACAUACCAUAUAAUAAGGUACAUUUAAGUGCUAGUGUAACUCAUAAUUUUCAUGGAAUCACAUCAUAUAUUUUUCAUGCAACACAAGCAAAUUCUUUAUUAUCCAGUUUUUAUUGAUACCAAUGCAUUGCUUUUAUAAUACCACUUCUGUUCUAAAUAUAUUUCUUUAUAACAGUUAAAAUGUGCUUUAAAAUGUGGAAUAUCCAUUUAGCUUUAAUCUUUUUUUAAUUGAAAGUAUGUGAAAUAUAAAAUAACAAAAUGGAAUAUAUCUUUGAAAUUGUCCUUUUUCUUUCUUAACAUAAAAAGCACUCAAAUGUAUAACUAUUGAUUAUCUAAAUAGCUUUAAGAACAUAUUAAAACACAAAAAUCUAGAGGAAUAUAUAAAUAAUGACAACUAUUUUGCAAAGUUGUAAAUUUGAUGGCAAGUAUUAGAUUUUAUUGGGUAAUUCUUUUUGAAUGAAUGGAUAAAAGCAUGCAUAUAUUAAACAAUUUAAGAACAUUAUUACAGAACUCUUGUAUUAUAUAUCUAAUUCCUUAAAACUGUUGCAAAUGUUUUCAAACAUGCAUUAGCACAAUAUGAUUUAAAGUAACAUAGGGCUAUAAGUUUAAAUAUUUCUAAAUUAUUAUAUGUAUGUCUAAUUGUAUAAUUCUUAUAAAUAAAAACCAAAAACCAAACAAACACCUUUUGAGGGAAUACGUCCAAGCUUCCUUCUUUCACUUUCUCUCCCUUUACUCAGCCUAUUCUCUGUCUUAUUUCUUCUCACCAGUCUGCCAUCUCUUGUCUUUCACUGGAAUGUGUGAAGCUUGUACUUUGUGUGUGAGCUUUCCACUAGUGCUCAGAUAUUCUCACUAGUCAUACACCAUGGAUGGAACAGUUCUAGAGGUGAAUCUACAGAUCUCUCACUUCCACAUAAAAACUUUCUUAGCCCUGCUAUGCAAAAUUAAGACUUGCUAUUUCAACCACACAUAUUAAAGUGUCUGGUCUAGUUCUCCAUAUUACCUAUUUUCCCUUUAAAUAUUGAAAAUUUUACCAUGAUAUUUUUUCAUACCAUUUAUUUUGCUUUUAUGCACAGUGAUAUUUGCUUGUUAUUCACCUUUAUUGCUUAUCUUUUUGUCUGAAUGUAAGUCUGUAGAAGAAUGUUUAAUAUGAAACAGAAUAGCAGAAAUAUCAAAUAAAGUAUCUGUAACAUAAUGACACUCAGAUAACUGUCAAGUGAAUAACAAUAAAUCCAAGAGAAACAUAAGUUACAGUUAAAGUUUAUAUUCAAUAGUAAGUAAUGAAAUUGUCAUUAUAGACUAGGAUUUUCUUAUAUUAAGGACCUGAUGUGACUGAACUAAGCUGUAUACCACAUCAAACAUCCUCACUAAUACUGAAUAUAUUUUCAGACUCAGAUGAACAUGCUUCCUGUGCAUUCAUUUUUAAUGGUAGUAAUAUUAUGAAAAAUCUACAUAUUUGGAAAACUGUAGGUGCACAAGCCAUCCAUUUCAAUGUAUUUUGCGCUAUCAGUUGAGCAACUAGAUGUUUUCUUUCAUCAAAUAGAAGUUAUCAAACACUUGAAUCAUGGAUCAACAGAUAUUAAAUUAUUUUCUGUGGAAACAACUCCAUAGUUUAUUUGGAGAUAUCCAAUCUAUUUCAAUUGUAUUUAUGGCAGAUAUGAAGAAAAAUCUUUUUGAUAUACAUUUCAAAAAUACCAUUCAUAUAUUAUAAUAUAUUAUAAUAUUCAUAUGUUACUGUAUUGAUAUGGUAGUGAAAAAAGAAAUUUUUGAGCAUAAGACUUAAAAUAGGAUGAUGUAGUCAGAAAUUUGUAAGCAUUUUAAUUAAAUGAGUUAUGUUAUUAUUUGCAAUGGAAGAUCAAGUGAUUUAUCUUUGUAGCAGAUGCAUCUUGAGUUUUUCAACAUGAGAAGAUGAGGAAUGGAUAGGCAGAGCUGAUACAAAUACAGUACUGUUGACAAAUUUUUUCAUUUACACUGCAUGUAUUUAUAUCUGAGAGGUUUUAUGGGUGCCUUUUUGCCAAAUAUGAACAUGCUAAUUAGAAUUAAACUGUAAAGAACAUUUUUUGAAAGGUAAAUUCAAUACAUUUUAUGUAAAAUAAA